ACGAACGCUGGCGGCGUGCUUAACACAUGCAAGUCGAACGAGACGAUUGAAAGCUUGCUUUUGAAAGUCGAGUGGCAAACGGGUGAGUAACGCGUAGACAACCUGCCGUAAAGAUGGGGACAACAGUUCGAAAGGACUGCUAAUACCGAAUGUUGUAGAGUUUCCGCAUGGGAAUCCUACUAAAGGUGGCCUCUACUUGUAAGCUAUCGCUUUACGAUGGGUCUGCGUCUGAUUAGCUAGUUGGUGGGGUAACGGCCUACCAAGGCGACGAUCAGUAGCCGGUCUGAGAGGAUGAACGGCCACAUUGGAACUGAGACACGGUCCAGACUCCUACGGGAGGCAGCAGUGGGGAAUCUUCCGCAAUGGGCGCAAGCCUGACGGAGCAACGCCGCGUGAGUGAAGAAGGGUUUCGACUCGUAAAGCUCUGUUGUCGGGGACGAAUGUGGAGAUGGUGAAUAACCAUUUCCAAUGACGGUACCUGACGAGGAAGCCACGGCUAACUACGUG
This 507-nucleotide ribosomal RNA is filed under the name uncultured bacterium. RNAcentral describes it as "bacterial SSU rRNA". It matches the Rfam family "Bacterial small subunit ribosomal RNA", at positions 29 to 507 of the family's 1533-position model. The record is from RNAcentral.